Molecule: long non-coding RNA, 2707 nt
Filed under: Eutrema salsugineum
Lineage: Eukaryota; Viridiplantae; Streptophyta; Magnoliopsida; Brassicales; Brassicaceae
Description: long non-coding RNA (ESAL_LNC001535)
Source: RNAcentral
UCACCACCGUCUCUGCAAAUGAAGCACCACGAUUCCAGCUUAACCGCCGUUUCGUCGCUACCGGCGUUCAUCUCCACUGUCGUCUUUACCGACGAUAGCAUCUGCUGUCGCUGAUUUAACCAUCACCGACCCAACAUCUCAACUUUUCACCGGAGCAUGUCAAAACCCAGAAAUCGUCGACUAUUUCUAGAUCCUCUCAUUUCCGAUGAUAGAUUGACGUUAAUUCAUCCUCACCGCUGACUGAUUCCGCUGCUACCUUAACCGAUGCAGCUCAGCUCUGCAAUCCCAGGUAAAUUCCGAAACUCCCAUAGCCAUCUCUUUACCAAAAUGUUAUUUCAGUUUCUGUUGCUGUGAUUUGCAAUUACUUCUGAAAUCUUACUGUCUUCCUUUUCAUCUGCAGCUGCUGAAGACACUUUUGAUUUCAAAAACUAAGCAUCGUGAAUUGCAGGUAAAACCCCAAAUUCCUUUGACGCUUCCAAACUUUCAAAUUUGACCACCUGAAAAUUUUGCCAUUUGAGAAGAUCAACCCGUAAUGAAACACUUCUUCUCUGUUACCCUGAAAUGAUGACUUUUACCAAUCUCAUCUCACAUUUUUCAAACUUUACAAUCUGAAAAAACUUUGUCGAUUUCUUAUGUUACCGAUACUGAAUUUUUUUUUUCAAUAUCUUCUGUCUUUGUGAGAUGCCCAAAUCGACAAGAGCAAUCUCAAGACGCUUUUGGAAACAACUACGGAAUUACAUUGAGAAGCACCAGGAACUUCUCAAACGUGUUUCCAGGUAAGCACUUUGUGAGCAUGUCUGCUGGAUUAGCUGUAGUGUGAACCUUUAGGAUCUUGACUGAACCUUCAUCGACUAUAUCUCUGAUAAAAUGAUAUUUGGUAUCAACAUGCUUUGUUCUGUCAUGGUGCACACUGUUCUUUGCUAAACAUAUAGCACUUUGUGAAUUACAAUUGAGUUUAAAACUGUCCUCUUUAAAACCCAAUUCACCACACAAUCCCUUAAGCCACAGACCUUCCUUAGUAGCCUCAGAUAGAGACAUAUAUUUUGCUUUCGUAGUAGAUAAAGCAACUACUUGUUGUAGACAUGAUCUCCAACUGACCGUAUUGCCACCAACUUUGAAAACAUAGCCUGAAACUGACCUUCUCCUGUCUAAGUCUGUAGCAUAAUCUGAAUCACAAAACCCUUCAAUCUCAAAUUUCUCUGAUUUUGUGAAAGUAAGACAUACUCCUGUAGCUCCUUUUAAAUACCUCAAAAUCCACUUAACCGCAGCCCAAUGAGAUCUUCCUGGAUUCGCCAUGAAUCUGCUAACCAAUCCAAUGGCAAAGGCUAGAUCAGGUCUUGAACCGAUCAUAGCAUACAUCAGACUCCCCACUGCACUUGCAUAGGGAACUGAAUCCAUCAAUCUACUCUCUGUUUUUACCUCCUGCUCUGUUAGACUCUUAAGCUUAAACUGCGAAUUACUUGGAGUUACAACAGCCUUGCAAUCCUCCAUGUUAAAAGUUCUUAAAACCUGCUUAAGAUAUCUUUCCUGUGAUAACUUGAGAGUACCUUUCUUUCUGUCCCUGAUGAUAUCCAUACCAAGAAUUCUAGUCGCUGGUCCUAGAUCCUUCAUCUCGAACUUUUUACUUAAGCUUGCCUUCAAGGCUUUGAUCUUUUCCAUAUUCUUUGCUGCCACAAGCAUGUCAUCGACAUAUAGUAAGAGAUAAACCAUAUCAUCAAUACAUGAUCCCUUAGUGUAAACACAUGGAUCCCUAGCGCUCCUUUGAAACUCCAUUGACUUCAUGAAUUCAUCAAACUUCUGAUUCCAUUGUCUAGGUGACUGUUUCAAACCAUAUAGAGAUUUCUUAAGAAGACAGACCUUGUCUUCGUUUCCCUUCUCUAUAAAACCCUCUGGCUGACUCAUGUAAAUGACUUCAUCAAGUGUACCAUGUAAGAAAGCAGUUUUCACGUCUAGUUGCUCCAAUUCCAGAUCAAAAUUAACCACAACUGACAACAUGAUUCUAAUAGAAACAUGCUUAACCACCGGAGCAAAUAUUUCGUUGUAAUCCACUCCUUCAACCUGUGUAAAUCCCUUAGCUACAAGUCUUGCUUUGUAUCUAGGUUCUUCAACACCUGGAAUGCCCUCCUUGUACUUGAAGAUCCACUUACACCCAACUAUUUUCUGCUUUCUCGGCUUAGAGACAAUCUCAAAAGUUUCAUUUUUAUCCAGAGAUUGUUUUUCCUCUUCCAUAGCCUGCUUCCACUUCUUCCAGUCUUUACUUCGUCUAGCUUCUGCGACUGACCUUGGUUCAUUUAACUCUAUGCUUUCAGCGCUAGUUAAAGCAUAAGCUAAAUAAUCAGCAUCCUCAAACCUCGAUGGUGGUUUGAUAGUUCUUCGCUCUAUGUCUCUUGCCAGCAAAUAAUCAUCAAGAGACUCUUCUUCAUCCUGAUUUUCUUGUUCUUCCUCAGAUUCCUGCUCCUCUUCUGAUUCUGAAUGUUCCGAAGUAGCUCCACCUUGACCAGCAGAAUCUGUAUUUCCUGAAACCUCUCCACCUUGACCAGUGGACUCUUGAACCGAACCAUUUGGAGUAGGUCCUUGGAUCAAUCCAGCUUUGAAAGUAACUUUCUUCUUCUUUGUAGAUUUUGUUACUUCAUUCUGAUCUCGGUCCUUAUACAACUUUUCCUCAUCAAAGACUACAUUCCUGCUGUUAGUACAUUUUCCAUCCUCC